This is a long non-coding RNA of Coffea arabica (coffee), 622 nucleotides long. RefSeq lists it as uncharacterized. NCBI's taxonomy places the organism in Eukaryota, Viridiplantae, Streptophyta, Magnoliopsida, Gentianales, Rubiaceae. The record is from RefSeq and is a predicted model, not a curated record.
ACCGUGAACCACUCCACCCCAUAUCCAUUCUUCACCUCGUGAUUAACGACAGAGAGAAAGAGUGAGCUGAGCCUCUCAUCUUCUUCCCAUGCUGCCGUGAGCCGCGACUGGAGACCAACCGAGAGAGGGAGAACCGAGCUCCUCAUUCGUUUCCUUUCUGUCCGCAAACUAGAGAGGGAAGAGAGUGACUUGCGGUUCAUUUCUCCUUCCAUCCGUGAGUUGGUGAAGGCUGAGAACCAAAUUUCUUUUAUCAGCCGCAAGCCAGAGCAAGGGAGAGAGAGGCAGCUAGCGGUCUGCAUUAUUUUUUUCUGGACUGCCGGAGGAAGGGAAUCAAUUUCUGCUGCUAACCGUGUGAGUGUACUCCUAGUUGAGGUGAUUCAGAGGACACCGAGAAGCUCUUUUAAUUUCCUGCUUUUGCUCUUGCUUUGCUUCGGAUUACGUUCUAUGCAGGGCUCGAGAAGGAUAGUUACUCAAGCACAAGGAUUUGGAGUACCGUGGAUUAUCCUUUAUCUAGGUUGUGAUUGAUCUUCUUUGUGGAAUGUAAUGGUUAUUUUGAAAGAUUUGUGAACUUUAUGGUAUGAUGUACUUGUGGUUGAAGUGAAUGUAAAUCUCAUGACAUUUU